AACGCACAUUGCGCCCCUUGGUAUUCCGGGGGGCAUGCCUGUUCGAGCGUCAUUUAUACCAAUCUAGCCUGGCUAGGUGUUGGGCCUCGCCGUCUGGCGGGCCUUAAAACUAGUGGCGGUGCUCUUCAGCUCUACGCGUAGUAAUUUUCUCGCUAUAGGGUCUGGGGAGAUGCUUGCCAGCAACCCCAAAUUUUUCUAGGUUGACCUCGGAUCAGGUAGGGAUACCCGCUGAACUUAA
RNAcentral lists this unclassified non-coding RNA (238 nucleotides) under uncultured Lachnum. RNAcentral describes it as "sequence contains ITS2". The record is from RNAcentral. Lineage: Eukaryota; Fungi; Ascomycota; Leotiomycetes; Helotiales; Hyaloscyphaceae.